CCCUAUCGGACACAAACAUAACAGGCUGUGGUGCAGGACCAAGACGGGCUCGGUGUCUUCGGCAGGAUGGAGGAUGAAGAUUAAGGGGGGUUCAACCCUACGUGCCGGGUCAUGGCCAGCAGGUGCUAUUCAAGCAAAGGACUUCCAGACAUAGUCGUUUCCUGUCCUUCUAGCCACAUCCCAGAAUUCCCCCUGAUAGGCUGGAUCUGAAUGGACUGGCGUGCAGGAGCUGAGGACGAUGCCACCUCAAAUAGAAGCAUCCACAGCAGCCUCAAGGCAGGUCUCUGACCCUCGAGUGCAGUGGAAAUACGAAAGCCAACACAGCACAAGGACCGGGACAGAAUCAGGGUGAGAUGUGGAGCACUGGAUUGGUGGCAAGGGACCUAAAGCCUAUAUUUUUUCUUUUAAAAUAUAAGUACUAUACUUAU
Molecule: long non-coding RNA, 428 nt
Organism: Mustela lutreola (European mink)
Lineage: Eukaryota; Metazoa; Chordata; Mammalia; Carnivora; Mustelidae
Exons: 4
Source: RefSeq, a predicted model, not a curated record